Molecule: ribosomal RNA, 310 nt
Filed under: uncultured bacterium
Lineage: Bacteria
Description: bacterial SSU rRNA
Rfam family: Bacterial small subunit ribosomal RNA
Source: RNAcentral
AGUGAACGCUGGCGGUAGGCCUAACACAUGCAAGUCGAACGGCAGCACAAGAGAGCUUGCUCUCUGGGUGGCGAGUGGCGGACGGGUGAGGAAUACAUCGGAAUCUACUCUGUCGUGGGGGAUAACGUAGGGAAACUUACGCUAAUACCGCAUACGACCUACGGGUGAAAGCAGGGGACCUUCGGGCCUUGUGCGAUUGAAUGAGCCGAUGUCGGAUUAGCUAGUUGGCGGGGUAAAGGCCCACCAAGGCGACGAUCCGUAGCUGGUCUGAGAGGAUGAUCAGCCACAUCGGGACUGAGACACGGCCCGA